This 448-nucleotide ribosomal RNA is filed under the name uncultured bacterium. RNAcentral's name for it is "partial 16S ribosomal RNA". It matches the Rfam family "Bacterial small subunit ribosomal RNA", at positions 29 to 523 of the family's 1533-position model. The record is from RNAcentral.
AAUGAACGCUGGCGGCAGGCCUAACACAUGCAAGUCGAACGGAUCCUUCGGGAUUAGUGGCGGACGGGUGAGUAACGCGUGGGAACAUACCCUUUGGUACGGAAUAGCCUCGGGAAACUGGGAGUAAUACCGUAUGUGGUCGAGAGACGAAAGAUUUAUCGCCAAAGGAUUGGCCCGCGUUGGAUUAGGUAGUUGGUGGGGUAAUGGCCUACCAAGCCGACGAUCCAUAGCUGGUUUGAGAGGAUGAUCAGCCACACUGGGACUGAGACACGGCCCAGACUCCUACGGGAGGCAGCAGUGGGGAAUCUUAGACAAUGGGGAAACCCUGAUCUAGCCAUGCCGCGUGAUCGAUGAAGGCCCUAGGGUUGUAAAGAUCUUUCAGGUGGGAAGAUAAUGACUGUACCACCAGAAGAAGCCCCGGCUAACUCCGUGCCAGCAGCCGCCGCUG